CCCACAUGUGCACAUAAAGUUAAUCAUGUAGUCAGAAUGAUCUAAAAUAAGAAAAUUAAUCUUUCACUAAUCGUACAUCUAUAGGGUAUAUGCAGAAUUACACCUGCACAUAACUAUGUGAAUAUAUGCAUAUAAGGAUCUUCUCUCAGAUCAGCAUAGAGUAAGUAACUGGAGGAGAUUAGCUCCUUUGGAUGCAAAUAAACCUUUCAGUAAUCCAGAGGUGAGGUUUUUCCAGCAGAUAGCCUGCAGGUAUGAACCACCAAUUUAAAGCUGCAGGCCAGAAUUAAAUAUUACGCCCCCCCCCCAAAAAAAGCAGAGAGGUUUGGCAAACAGCUACUGUUGAAGCCUGGCCAUUAAUUUUUUUCCUUUCAAAUUAACUUCUAAAUGUUAAGACCUGAGAUUAAUAUGGAGACCAAACAUGAGUGAUAUCGACAGGUGACAAAUCAGACUGUCAUCGUGAACUCGAAAACAAAGGCUCAAAAUUAAAUAAAAAUAGAAAAUGAAUAGAAAAACUUGACCUUAGUUGUGCUGUUUAUUUGCAUCUUUCUGGAGUGUGCAUAGAUAUCCCGCUUUGAGAGUGACAGUUGGUCCUGAUGCAUGGUCUGAAAUGGCUGUCAGCUCAUUUCUGCGUGCUCUUCUGUCGCAGUCCAAAAUGGCCCUCAAGCCAUCAGGAAAUGUCUCAGUGCUCCCAAAAGGCUUCCCACAUGUGACUGAGAUUACUAUUUUUUGUCUUGUAGAAACCUUUUCUCUCCCCGAUGGCACAGCACAGCCAUCAAACGCCCUCACUGUGAGGGUCAAGUUCAGGCCUGUGCCAUCGUCCUGGGGAACACAUGCACACGUACACUCAUCUCUUGAUGACAAUGUGGCUACUGUAUCCCAAAGCAGGACAAUGUGUCCCAACAAACCUCUUAGGAACGGAUCAAGGAACACAAAAAAGCCAAUUUUACAUGAUGUGGCAGGAAAAAGCCUGCUGAGGCUUUACCCUGGAACUCAAAGAAUCAGAACAAUCUACUGUGUGAUCACAGGAUGCAACAGGACCCCACUGUAUACCUCUAGAGGACAAGUGUCCAUAACGUAGUGGGUCAGGGCUGCACAAGAUUGCCAAAAGUAAUUGCUUGUCUGCCUUCCCACACAUAUGAACUUGAGUGACACCCCAUUCUUAAUCCAUAGGAUUUAAUAUGAUGUCGGCCAACUCUUUACAGCUAUAACAGGUUUGACUCCUCUGGGAAGGGUAAGGAUGUGUUUAUAGGAAUUUUUGACUGUUUUUCCAGAAGUGCAUUUGUGUCAGAGACACUCUAAUUCCCAGAGGUGUUCAAACAGGUUGAGGUCAGGACUCUACGCAGGCCAGCCAAGGUCUUCCACACCAAACUGGCUUGAAGGCAACUGCUUGGCCCUGGAAGCCCAUUCCAUGAACCUCUCCACUGACUGCACUUGAGCUAAUCUGAAGGCCACAUGAAGUCUGGAGGUCUGUAGAAACUGACUCUGCAGAAAGUUGCACCUCUGUGCACCAUGAAUCUCAGCACUUGCUGACCCCGCUCAGUGAUUUUAUGUGGUCUACUAGUGGCUUAGUUGGUGUUGAUCCCAUUUGAUUCCACUUUGUUAUUAUACUACUAACAGCUGACUGUGGAAUACUGAGGAGAAUGGUCAUUUCAUGGCAGGAGUUGGUGCACUUGUGGGAUUUUAUCACAGUACCUAGCUGGAAUUCACUCUGCUUCUAUAAAUAUUUGUGAAUGAAUGGGUUGUCCCAGGAGCUGACUGGAUACCCAGGUGCGUGACUUCAUAGAUCUGUG
This 1790-nucleotide long non-coding RNA is filed under the name Oreochromis niloticus (Nile tilapia). Its description in RNAcentral is "lncRNA (ENSONIG00000041209.1)". Lineage: Eukaryota; Metazoa; Chordata; Actinopteri; Cichliformes; Cichlidae. The record is from RNAcentral.